CCUGUAUGGGACUGCUGCGAGAGUAGCACUGCCUGCGGGUGUGGGCGCGUUUGCCUUUAUAGAUGUAAUAUAUAUAUAUAUAUAUUUUUUUUUGCACAUGUAUAGGUGGUUCCAUUCAUGACCUCCGUCAUUCAGCGCCUUCGCCGCGUAGAGGUAGAAGGUCUCGAAAACCUGCGCAACCUCGGCGGCUACCACACGAACAACAGCACCAAAACGAAGAGGCGGGGCGUUGUGUAUCGCAGUGAUCAGCUCUUCCGCAUUCCAGCGUGCAUGGCGCAAAGGGGGCUGGUCGAUCAGCUGCGCAUUCGCCACGUGUACGACCUGUGUGAUAGCACCGAAGUGUCGGAGAAGCGGUAUAGUUUGCUUCACAUGCAACAUACCUCUUUGCCGAUUGACAUGAGCAACGCCAAUCGGUUUUUGAAAGAAGGCGAGAACCUCAAGCAGGUGGCGACGGCACACCGUUUCAUGCAGGAAAUUGACCGAGAGUUUGUGCGCUCGUACGCGCUAACGGUGGGACUCAUCAUCAAGGGCAUAAUCGGCAGCAAAGCAUCCUGCGACAAGGCCUCUCUCAUCCAUUGCACCGCGGGUAAGGACCGCACGGGAUGGUGCUGCUACGUGCUGCUGACACUGCUGGACGUGACGGAGAAGGAGAAGCGAGCCGACUACCUCCUUACGAACACGUUCGUUGGUAUUCCAGCAGACGCCUGGGACUACAAUGGCGCAGAAGGAAUGAGUGAGGAGGCGAUGGCAGCCCUCUGGGCAGCGUUUAACGAGUAUCUGGACGCUGCUCUUGAUGAAUUGAGCAAGAUGGGCGGCAUCUACAAGUACGCGAAGUCGCACAUGGGUCUCACCGACGAGGACAUCGACGAGCUGCGAGAGCUGAUGCUAGAGUAGGUGCGAGUUGCGCAUAUGCUACGCUUCGCUGGUCGGCUCUAUCUCCUGUUUUUUCGCUGUUUUUUUUUUUUGUCUUCCUCACUCUUUUCAGUGGCGGUUUCCUUUGCGCAUCGGCCCGCUACAUCUCCUCGCUUAUCGCAGUUCUUUUUUUUUUGGCGUGCGCUUCUCCCGGGCUUCGUGGUGUCGCUUCUUCUUUUCGCAGAAAGACGUCGUAGACCUUCCCACAUCCCACACCCUCGAUCUCCCUCGAAGCCAAGCCACGUAUGAGCAUCCUCCACCUAUCGUGCGACAAUUUGUCCUUCAUUGUUUUUCCCUUGUGUAUUUGUGAUUCCUUUUCUCUCUUCUUCGUCGAGGAGCUGAAGAGGGCGAGAGGCCAGGGAUGGGGGCGGGCGCGGGGGGGGGGGAAGGCGUGCUGAAAGAGAACAGGGAGCCAGCGAGAAGCGGUGGUCGAACAGUUGGACGAGGCGGAUCAGUUGCUGCUCUGACUGCUUCGCCCCACCCUCCCCAGAAACAAGCGAAAAAAAAAAGAAAAAGAGCUUUUCGCUCUUUAGUUAUGGGGAAGAGACCUUUGCCCCCCCCCCCCCCCAGUGUUUGUUUGAGGCCUUCGCGCUUCAAGCCCUCCCUGGAAUGCCUUCUGUGUGCACUGUGUGCGCCUCUGACAGUGUUCAUGCGUGUGUGUGUGGGGGGGGGGGUGACGAUGCGCUCAUCAGGCGCAUGGAUCUCCAAUGCAUCUCUUUCGAAUGUGCCUCCGUUCUCUUCCUCCCCUUCUGUCCCUAUAACGGCUCGCGUCACUGAUCGAGCUUCAUGUGUGCGAUGCGUCGUGUGCUCUGCGAGAG
RNAcentral lists this unclassified non-coding RNA (1730 nucleotides) under Leishmania donovani. Its description in RNAcentral is "gene:LdHU3.33.4160(CDS-product:Tyrosine_phosphata se_family/Tyrosine_phosphatase_family_C-inal_region_contain ing_protein_putative)". The record is from RNAcentral. Lineage: Eukaryota; Euglenozoa; Kinetoplastea; Trypanosomatida; Trypanosomatidae.